This 321-nucleotide ribosomal RNA is filed under the name uncultured soil bacterium. RNAcentral's name for it is "bacterial SSU rRNA". It matches the Rfam family "Bacterial small subunit ribosomal RNA", at positions 26 to 337 of the family's 1533-position model. The record is from RNAcentral.
AGAUUGAACGCUGGCGGCAUGCUUUACACAUGCAAGUCGAACGGUAACAGGCCGCAAGGUGCUGACGAGUGGCGAACGGGUGAGUAAUGCAUCGGAACGUGCCCAGUCGGUGGGGGAUAACGCAGCGAAAGCUGUGCUAAUACCGCAUACGAUCUAUGGAUGAAAGCGGGGGACCGAAGGCCUCGCGCGAUUGGAGCGGCCGAUGUCAGAUUAGCUAGGUUGGUAGGGGUAAAGCCCAACCGAAGGCGACGAUCGUGUAGCGUGGUCUGGAGACGGACGACCAGCCCACACGUAGGAACUAGACGACCACGGUCCACGACC